Molecule: ribosomal RNA, 264 nt
Filed under: uncultured bacterium
Lineage: Bacteria
Description: partial 16S ribosomal RNA
Rfam family: Bacterial small subunit ribosomal RNA
Source: RNAcentral
UUCCUACGGGACGCAGCAGUGAGGAAUAUGGGUUAAUGGGGGGGAGACUGAACCAGCCAAGUCGCGUGAGGGAUGACGGCCCUAUGGGUUGUAAACCUCUUUUGCCGGGGAGCAAAGUGCCGCACGUGUGCGGUUUGGAGAGUACCCGGAGAAAAAGCAUCGGCUAACUCCGUGCCAGCAGCCGCGGUAAUACGGAGGAUGCGAGCGUUAUCCGGAUUUAUUGGGUUUAAAGGGUGCGUAGGCGGACGCUUAAGUCAGCGGUAA